AGAGGAGCUGGACAAGUACUGGUCGCAGCAGAUUGAGGAGAGCACCACAGUGGUCACCACGCAGUCUGCUGAGAUUGGAGCUGCAGAGAUGAC
Molecule: microRNA precursor, 93 nt
Filed under: Carlito syrichta (Philippine tarsier)
Lineage: Eukaryota; Metazoa; Chordata; Mammalia; Primates; Tarsiidae
Description: miRNA (ENSTSYG00000034785.1)
Rfam family: mir-622 microRNA precursor family (bases 13-84)
Source: RNAcentral